AUACAAACACACACACACACACACACACGAAUUCUUCACUGAAAUCAUACAACUCAUCACCCAUUUAUAUUUUUCACACGGAUUACCACUGAUUCCUCCCCAAUUCACUCAUCAUUAUUUCAUUUUCCCUUAAAUCACUCCCUAACUAACUUCAUUUCCCCCUCAAACUUUGAUCACAAGGAUCAUUAAUCCUCACUCCCUCUCACUUAUAUAAAC
This 216-nucleotide long non-coding RNA is filed under the name Lathyrus oleraceus (garden pea). Its description in RNAcentral is "Pisum sativum (pea) long non-coding RNA (PSAT_LNC014121)". The record is from RNAcentral. Lineage: Eukaryota; Viridiplantae; Streptophyta; Magnoliopsida; Fabales; Fabaceae.